CAGUAGCCGCGGUAAUACGGAGGGGGCUAGCGUUGUUCGGAAUUACUGGGCGUAAAGCGCACGUAGGCGGCUUGGUAAGUUAGAGGUGAAAGCCUGGAGCUCAACUCCAGAAUUGCCUUUAAGACUGCCGAGCUAGCAGGUGAGAGAGGUAAGUGGAAUUCCGAGUGUAGAGGUGAAAUUCGUAGAUAUUCGGAAGAACACCAGUGGCGAAGGCGGCUUACUGGCUCAUACUGGACGCUGAGGUGCGAAAGCGUGGGGAGCAAACAGGAUUAGAUACCCCUGUAGUCCCUGUCUCUUAUAU
Molecule: ribosomal RNA, 301 nt
Filed under: uncultured bacterium
Lineage: Bacteria
Description: partial 16S ribosomal RNA
Rfam family: Bacterial small subunit ribosomal RNA
Source: RNAcentral